UAUUUCUUGGCCCUGCAAGAUUUGAAGUUCAACUGUCAUCAGAUCUCUCUCUCAGAGACGAUGAGUGUGCUUCUGGGCUUGAGAGGAACUUCUGGGUUUUUCAUUUUUUCAGUUAUAUGAGUAAUUUUACUCAAUUACUAAAUAGUUGUUAUCUAUAAGUGAUGGUAUAAAAAUCCUCAUCAUCUUCUGGAAAAAGCAAUGGUGCUGCAAAUCCCACUCCCACUUCAUCGAUGAGUGAUGGCCCCUCACUCCCAGUGUUCGGCCUUCCCCUUCAUCCUCUCUGACAAAUUCGUCUUCUCCGACCUGCAACACCAACUCAAACUCCAGCGACGGACCGCUCAAUACCACCGUCUCCGCUCGUUUUCAUUUCCAGUUUUGUUUCUGGAUUCUCGUAUGUUGGAUUUCCACACGAUCAUGUUCCUUCCAUAAUUGCUCUUGGAGAACAUGAGGUUCUUCAGUUUCUUUUCUAAUCAGUUUUGUUUUAAUUGUUCAUCAUGGCUUCGGAAAUUUCAUUUCUUUUUUGCCUGAAUUUUGAGUGCAUCUAAAAGUUUUGUCUUCAAAGACUUGAUCUUUCUGGGAUUUGAUGGUGGUUGGUGGUUUAACUGGGUUUUGUGCUACUGGUAGCAAUGGUGGUGGUCGUGGUGGCAGUGGCAAUAGUGGUGGUAAUGGAGGCAACUGUGGAGAAGAUGAUGAGAUGUUGCAUAUUGGGUGUAGAGAGAAAUUUUUGGGUGUUCAUAACAAUAGCAUCCCAGUUUUUUUUUUUCUCCACAUUCUUGAAGACAUGAAUUUGCCCUUAGAAAUAUGACAGAAACCAAGCUGACUAACAGUCAAACUGACGGCAUGUAUUUAUGUUGGAUCGGGAUUUGAAGCUCAGACACUGUUCUUCAGUUUUGCAUUGGUUGUGGGCAUAGAGAAGGCUUCGGCGGCAUUUCUGGGUGUUCAACAUCUGCUACGAGCAUCUGUGUGACUCUCUUCAUUGAAGCAUCGCCAACCUCCAAGUCCUUACCAUCAUUAUAUUGAUCAAGCACCCAUGUGGGGAAGUAAAGUUGGCUUGAGUUAUCUCCAUGUGCAUUUAGAUUUUUCCUUCUGCUUGCCAUUUCC
Long non-coding RNA from Rosa chinensis, 1101 nucleotides. RefSeq lists it as uncharacterized. The transcript is spliced from 4 exons. The record is from RefSeq and is a predicted model, not a curated record. NCBI's taxonomy places the organism in Eukaryota, Viridiplantae, Streptophyta, Magnoliopsida, Rosales, Rosaceae.